RNA transcript from Rhopalosiphum maidis (corn leaf aphid), 6320 nucleotides. It is a transcript of the gene named contactin, with no coding region annotated. NCBI's taxonomy places the organism in Eukaryota, Metazoa, Arthropoda, Insecta, Hemiptera, Aphididae. The record is from RefSeq and is a predicted model, not a curated record. The transcript is spliced from 22 exons.
UGAUAACACCACUGUAAACAUUUUCUCGUCGUGUUCUGUCAUUGGUACAUGAACACGAUAUAAACAAUUAAAUACUUACACUGCAUAUAUUUUUUUUUGUUUUUUAUUACAAACCGUUGUUGGGUUUUUUAAUUCGCUCCUCACGUUCUCGUUCGAUUGCCAUGAACGGUAACAAGCCAUCGUUGUAAACCAGCAGCGAACGAGGCACACCGCGUGCGCGCGCGCGGUCUAUUUAUUUCACUUUUCAAAAUGAUCAAGUACGGCUAUCUGUGCGUCUUGGCCGUUCUGUGGUGCUCGACACCGUUCACCCGGUCGCAAAUAAAUGACGUGGAAACCGAAUGGCGAUGUCCGCAGUACUGGGUCCAGUACGGAAACUCCUGUUACAAGUUUGUGAAGUCGCCGUUCCGACCGAGAAGUGAAGCUCAUAGAAACUGUCAAGCUUUUGGAGCUGAUUUAGCUAGUGUUAAUAGCUUAGAUGAACAUGGUUUUCUCAUAAAUCAACUCUUGCAACAGGACCCACAACAUAGACAAUGGUAUGUAAGUGGUAAGCAAACCAGCCCUGGAGUGUGGGUAAAUGAUGUGGAAAACAAUAUUCCACUUAUUGAUGUCGAAAGUGCACUAUUACCUGAACAACAUACAACAUUAAACAGAGAUUAUAUUGCAUACACUUAUUCAGUUCAAUUACAAAAAUGGGGAUUUGAAAAAGUUCCAGGAGACCGAUACUUGCUUUAUAUUUGUGAAAUACCUCUUAAUAAACAACAUUUAAUAGUUGAAGAACGUUCCUAUAAGUAUGGCUAUAAUAUUGAUGAUCAGCAAAAAGUGCCUCGAGGACCUUACUUUAUUAAAGAACCUACAGAUGUAGUAUUUGAUAGUUCAAGAAUGUCAAUUACCAAUGACGUAGCUUUGAGUUGUGUUGCUGGAGGUUACCCAACACCAACAUAUGAAUGGUUUAAAGAAGAUUAUGAUAAUCAGGAUCAAUUAUUAUCUACAAAAAUUGAUCCACUAAGUAAUAAGAGAUUCACAUUAAGUGGUGGAACUCUUAUUAUUUAUGCUCCCAAAAGGGAUGAAGAUAGAGGUCGGUAUCACUGUAAAGCAUCAAACAUGUUUGGUUCUGUAAUUUCUGAAAGUAUACAACUUUCAUUUGGAUUUAUUGGUGAAUUUAAUUUACAACGUCCUCUUGAACGUGGUAAUAAGAAUUGGGGAAAAACAAUAUUCUGUGAUCCUCCUCAAUAUUUUCCUGAGGUGAGAUAUUAUUGGGUUAGAGAAUCGUUUCCUAACUUGGUUCAAGAAGAUCGGAGAGUGUUUGUCUCAUAUGAUGGAUUCUUAUAUUUUUCCGCUUUGGAAGAAAGUGAUGCUGGCAAUUAUAGUUGCAAUGUGCAAAGUGAAGUUUCUAAUACUGGCAAGAAUGGUCCCUUGUUCCAGUUGCAUGUAGUAACACAUUCUGACUAUCAACAACUUAUAUUACCCAACAAUUUCCCUAAAGCUUUUCCAGAAGCACCUAUUGCUGGCCAAGAAGUUAGACUUGAAUGUGUUGCAUUUGCAUAUCCUGUACCUUCAUAUAAUUGGACAAGGAAAGGUUCUCCGUUACCUAAAGGCUCUUAUUUGACAAGCUACAACCGUGUAUUGAUAAUUCCUGAAGUUCAAGUCGAAGAUCAAGGAGAAUAUAAUUGCCAUGUUUUUAAUGACCGAGAUAGUAAAGAGAAAAGUGUUACUUUAACAAUACAAGCCGAACCAAACUUUACAAUCCCAUUGGAAGAUAAACACAUGGAUCACCAGUCAGAUUUAACAUGGACAUGCGAAGCUUUUGGUGUUCCAGAUGUAACAUAUAAGUGGUUUAAAAAUGGCGAACCACUAGAUAUUGAUAAACUAUUACCUGAUGAUCAAAAACGGUAUUUAAUACAAGACAAUGUAUUAAGUAUAAAAUAUUUAGAAACUGAAAAAGAUUCAGGAAUGUAUCAAUGUCAAGCUCGCAAUACUUUAAAAACCCGUUACUCAUCUGCACAGUUAAGAGUGCUAUCUUUACGUCCAUCAUUUAAAAAGAAACCUCUGGAGCCUGAAAUAUAUGGCGCUGAAGGCAAAAAUGUAACAAUUAAAUGUAAUCCUGAAGCUGCACCUAGACCUAAAUUUACAUGGAAAAAAGAUGGAUAUAUUAUAGGGUCCGGAGGUAGGCGUCGCAUAUUAGAAAAUGGAAAUUUAAUAAUUAAUCCAAUUGGAAGAGAUGAUGAAGGGAUGUACAUAUGUAUUGCAGAAAAUUUGUAUGGAACCGCAGAAAGUCAUGGAAAACUUAUUGUUAUGCGUGGCCCAGUGUUUAUUGAACAAUUAAAUCCCCAAAUAAGGUCAAUUGUUAAACAUGAUUUACUAUUACGUUGCCAAGCUGUUUCUGAUGAACUCUUAGACAUUGCAUAUGUUUGGACCCAUAAUAAUAUGCCAUUAGCUAAUUCUAAUUCUGAACUCAUUGGACAUGUUAGCAUUAAUAGUGGAGAGCUAUACAUUCAUAAUAUGACAUUGGAAGAUUCUGGUGAAUACAAAUGUUUUGUACACAGUGUAGUUGGGGAAAUAUCAUCAACAACUAAUUUAUUUGUUGAUGGACCUCCUGGACCUCCAGGUGGACUACAAGUUGAAGUCUUAAAGACAUCUGCCAAACUUCAAUGGUCUGAUGGUGCAUCAAAUGGACGUCAAAUAACACAUUAUAUAGUAAGCGCCCGUUCACAAUGGAACAGUACUUGGUAUACAGUUGCCACAGAUUUUAUAGUCAAGGAAGUUGAUAGGUAUAAUGGGCGCAAAGAAGCAUUUUUAGAAAAUAUUUUGCAACCUUGGUCCAAGUAUGAAUUUAGAAUGGUAGCAGGAAAUGAGCUUGGUUUUGGUGAAAUAUCUCUUCCUUCACCUCAAGUUAAUACACCAGCUGAUCGCCCAUAUAAAGCACCAACAAAUAUCACUGGAGGUGAUGGUAAAAUUGGAGAUUUAACAAUUGUGUGGAAACAACUUCCUCCUCAAGAUCAAAAUGGACCAGGGAUCUAUUAUAAAGUAUAUUGGAGACGUUUAGAUCAUGACACAGAUUUUCAGUAUGAGACAUUGCAAGAUAAUGGUAAUAUCGGAAUGGCAGUAGUACACAUAAAGCCAGAAUUUUAUUACACUAAAUAUGAAGUCAAAGUUCAGCCCUUUAAUUCCUUUGGUGCUGGUCCUAUAUCAGAUCCUAAAGUAAUAUAUAGUGCAGAAGAUAUGCCACAAGUAUCUCCACAGCAAGUGUUUGCUAUUUCUUACAACUCAACUGCCAUUAAUGUAAGUUGGGUACCAAUUGAUCAAUCACGAGAAAUGUUACGUGGUAAAUUAAUUGGCCACAGAUUAAAAUAUUGGAAAAAAGAUAAGAAUGAAAAAGAAGAAGAUGCUGUAUAUUAUUUAAGUAGAUAUGUUAGGCCUUGGGCACUUAUUGUUGGAUUGCAACCAGAUACAGAAUAUUAUGUAAAAGUAAUGGCUUUCAAUUCAGCUGGAGAAGGUCCGGAGAGUGAGCGAUAUAUUGAACGAACGUACAGAAAAGCUCCUCAAAAACCACCAUCAUCUGUUAUAAUUAACGGCAUAAAUCCAGGUACCAUACAUGUAACAUGGCGAUAUGUACAACCAACACUUGAAGAAGAACCAAUCAAAGGCUAUAAGGUGAGAGUAUGGGAAAACGAUCAAGACAUGAGUACUGCAAAUGAUACGAUUAUUGAAAUUGAAAGCAAAUUAGAAGCAUACAUUUCUAACCUAACACCUGGAAAAGUAUACAAACUUCGAGUAUUGGCAUAUUCUAAUGGUGGAGACGGACGGAUGUCAUCACCCAUUAACACUUUCCAAAUGGGAAGUUUUACUUAAUAAUGAAAGUAAAUUACUUAUGUGUAGCAUAUAAUAUAAAUAAUUAAAAAUAUUUAUAUAUUUAUGCUGAACAAUACAAGCUUACUCUAGUUAUCACAAUAUGUAAUCCCGAUCUGUACUUGACCAACAAAGCGAGCAAAAACUCGGCAGUCUGUCUGUCGAUCGUGUUGUUGCUGAGAUUGUACGGCAUCAUUUAGAAUUUAUAGAUCUAAAACGUAACGCGCACGACCACAUGUAAUAAUCUCAAUUAUUAUAUUUUUUUAAACACAUUUUUACUAUUAUAAACGUAUAGUUUUAAGUUGAUGACAAUAAUUCGCCCAGAGUGUGAUCAAUUUUUGUGAUUAUGGUUAGAUAUAUUCAUAACGGAUCACAUAUAUUAUUUAUAAGAAUAUUAACCUAUAAUGGUAAACUCUAUACAAUUGUCCAUACAAGUAAAAUAUCAAAAUAUAUAUGAUUUCGGUGUACGUAAUUAUAUACCGAAUGUAUAUGGAGAAAAAGUGCCUUGAAAUAUUAUUAAUAAUAUUAUAAUACGCAUGAAUCAAAAACUCUCGUCUGUGUUCAAAAUAUAAUUGACAGCCAUUAUUUAAUAUAAUAUUAUUGUGAUUUAAUACUAUUCAAUAGCAAUAAGUGAGAUUUUUAAUAUAAAUACUGAAAAAUGUUCUUGUAAGUAUAAUUUUCAAUGUUGUAAAAAUAGGUAAUUGUUUAAAAUGUUUCAAGCAUAAGCUAUUUAAAUUCAGUGACUCUUAACCUUUUUUUUUGUUCGUGGUACCUUUGGGUAUUUUAUAAAAAUCCCAGAAUAUUCUACAUUUUAUAUAAUGUGUAUGAAUCAUUUAUAUUUUCAAUAUCUUGUGGUACACCUAAAACCAAUUCACGGAACACUAGUGUUUUGCGGCACACCAGUUGAGAAUCACUGUUAAAUACAGUACAUAAAAUAAUUUUAUUUUAUAUAUUAUAUUAUAUUAGUUAAAAGUGAUUAUAUAGUGUUCAACCUACAAGUUGUUUUCAGAUAAUAAUUUCUGGUGAAAAAUUCUCAGUGUUAAAAUGAAAUCAUUCUAAUAUUAUGUUCAUACAUUCUAUAUAAUAGCCUAAAGUAAUUUUAAUGUAGCUAAAUAUCAAUAAAAAAAAUAAUUAAAUAUUAAUUUUUUUUUAUCAUUAGAUAAAAUGCAAGAGACCUAUAUAAAACAGAUUAUUAAUAAAAUAUUUUAUAUUAUGUUAUUAACUAAGAGUCUUUUAAUUAUAUAAUUUAAAAAUAAUAAUAAUAAUAUUUAUAUGUUAAAUUAAGCAAAAUGGAAAAAUAAUAUUAAGCGCUAUCUAAUUUUUUAUGAUACUUAAACAAAUUUAAUUUUGAAUAUAAAAAAGCAAAUUAUUUACUAUAUUGUACGGCGAUUUUAUGACCUUUAGCUGUUUUAGUUUUAUCCUUUUUUAAAAAUGUACUAAUAAGUAAAUCAUUAUGGAAUCUUAAAAGUACUAAAAAAAUUAAAAAAAUAUAAAAACGAUAAAAUAUUGCAAUAAAUUUUGUUUGUACAACACCGCAAUAAAUUAAUUACAUCAAAUAUUUAAUUAAUUGACCUAUGUAUUACCUACCUAUGACAAUGGCGUAGCCAGGAUUUUUUUCGGGGGGCUGAUCAAUUUUUGUAAAAUACAAUUUAACAUUUUUGUACUUUUAAAAAUUAAAAUAAUUUUUUAAUUUUCUUAAUAUUUUUUUGAGAGGAGAGGGAGGAGGCUACAGCCCCCUCAGCUUCCCCCCUGGCUACGCCACUGACCUAUGAAUAACACUCAUAAUUCCUAUAUAUAUAUAAUUUAUUAUACAGUAAUAUAAUAGUACUAGGUUUUAUAUCUCUAUAUUUUGAUUUAUAAUUAAUUACCAUACUUGGGAAGUAUAAAAAUGGAUUGAUUUUUAUAAUGGGAAUUUUUUGCAAAUAUUUCUGAAAACACGUAGGAAUUGCCAAAAAAAUAUUUAAACAUAAAAUCACUAUAUAUAUAUAAUCAUAAUAAUAUAUCUGUUCAUUCAAACAUUUUACAACAUUGAUUUAUUUUUAUAAUGUAUAUUAUUUUAUUUUUGUACUUGCGUUUAUGAAAAGUAAAUUAGUUCUUGAGAUUUCAUUCUCAUAGGUAUAUAUUAUAUUUUAUAUUAAUUGCUUUUAUACUUUUUAUUCAUUAUUUUUAUGUAUACAUUUUUAUUGUAUUUUUUACUAUGCAAUAUGCGUUUUUUAAUUUAAGUGAAUCUAUACCGUCCAUACUAUCUAGUGAUAUUUAAUUAGUGCACAAUAUUGACGUACCUAUUAAAGUAGUCGUUAAAAUAUUUUAUUUAUAACUAAUAUUGACAAAUGUAGUUAUGUAGUACUUAGAACAACAAUAAUGUAACUAAAUACCAUUGUAUACUUUUGAAACUUAAUGACUUUAUAUUGGCAAUAUGUAACUUCCACUUAUUUUUUGCUUAAAUAUAUUAUAUUAUUAAAGAUUAAUCACAA